This is a long non-coding RNA of Ruditapes philippinarum (Manila clam), 232 nucleotides long. RefSeq lists it as uncharacterized. The record is from RefSeq and is a predicted model, not a curated record. NCBI's taxonomy places the organism in Eukaryota, Metazoa, Mollusca, Bivalvia, Venerida, Veneridae. The transcript is spliced from 2 exons.
GCAGAUAUUAGAAAUUGAACCGGUAAAGAUACUACGGGGAAUAAUACAACUUGAAGGGGACGCUGAAAACCUUUACGAUGAACAUAUUACCAUGCCAGUUGCUACAAACAGCAACUACUAUGGCAUGGGUGUUGAAGAUGUAUGGGCAAUGGGUUACACCGGUAAAGAUGUCGUCUUAGGUCUUGUAUGAGUAGGAAUAGAUACACAAUUACUCGAUUUAAAAGAAAACAUU